ACAGCAGUAGCCGCGGGAAUACAGAGGGUGCAAGCGUUAAUCGGAAUUACUGGGCGUAAAGCGCGCGUAGGUGGUUUGUUAAGUUGGAUGUGAAAGCCCCGGGCUCAACCUGGGAACUGCAUCCAAAACUGGCAAGCUAGAGUACGGUAGAGGGUGGUGGAAUUUCCUGUGUAGCGGUGAAAUGCGUAGAUAUAGGAAGGAACACCAGUGGCGAAGGCGACCACCUGGACUGAUACUGACACUGAGGUGCGAAAGCGUGGGGAGCAAACAGGAUUAGAUACCCCGGUAGUCCCUGUCUCUUAUAC
This 305-nucleotide ribosomal RNA is filed under the name uncultured bacterium. RNAcentral's name for it is "partial 16S ribosomal RNA". It matches the Rfam family "Bacterial small subunit ribosomal RNA", at positions 508 to 807 of the family's 1533-position model. The record is from RNAcentral.